ACCAGACUCCUACGGGAGGCAGCAGUGGGGGAUAUUGCACAAUGGGGGGAACCCUGAUGCAGCGACGCCGCGUGGGUGAAGGAGCGUUUCGGCGCGUAAAGCCCUAUCGGCAGGGAAGAAGGAGGACGGUACCUGACUAAGAAGCCCCGGCUAACUACGUGCCAGCAGCCGCGGUAAUACGUAGGGGGCAAGCGUUAUCCGGAUUUACUGGGUGUAAAGGGGGCGCGGACGGCAGCGCAAGCCAGCAGUGAAAGCCCGGGGCCCAACCCCGGGACUGCUCUUGGAACUGCGCGGCUGGAGUGCAGGAGGGGCAGGCGGAAUUCCUGGUGUAGCGGUGAAAUGCGUAGAUAUUAGGAGGAACACCAGUGGCGAAGGCGGCCUGCUGGACGACAACUGACGGUGAGGCGCGAAAGCGUGGGGAGCAAACAGGAUUAGAUACCCGGGUAUUA
Molecule: ribosomal RNA, 449 nt
Filed under: uncultured bacterium
Lineage: Bacteria
Description: partial 16S ribosomal RNA
Rfam family: Bacterial small subunit ribosomal RNA
Source: RNAcentral